Molecule: ribosomal RNA, 1092 nt
Filed under: Ustilaginoidea usambarensis
Lineage: Eukaryota; Fungi; Ascomycota; Sordariomycetes; Hypocreales; Clavicipitaceae
Description: SSU rRNA
Rfam family: Eukaryotic small subunit ribosomal RNA
Source: RNAcentral
AAAGAUUAAGCCAUGCAUGUCUAAGUAUAAGCAAUUAUACGGCGAAACUGCGAAUGGCUCAUUAUAUAAGUUAUCGUUUAUUUGAUAGUACUUUACUACUUGGAUAACCGUGGUAAUUCUAGAGCUAAUACAUGCUAAAAAUCCCGACUUCGGAAGGGAUGUAUUUAUUAGAUUAAAAGCCAAUGCCCUCUGGGCUCUCUGGUGAAUCAUGAUAACUUCUCGAAUCGCAAGGCCUUGCGCCGGCGAUGGUUCAUUCAAAUUUCUUCCCUAUCAACUUUCGAUGUUUGGGUAGUGGCCAAACAUGGUUGCAACGGGUAACGGAGGGUUAGGGCUCGACCCCGGAGAAGGAGCCUGAGAAACGGCUACUACAUCCAAGGAAGGCAGCAGGCGCGCAAAUUACCCAAUCCCGAUUCGGGGAGGUAGUGACAAUAAAUACUGAUACAGGGCUCUUUUGGGUCUUGUAAUUGGAAUGAGUACAAUUUAAAUCCCUUAACGAGGAACAAUUAGAGGGCAAGUCUGGUGCCAGCAGCCGCGGUAAUUCCAGCUCUAAUAGCGUAUAUUAAAGUUGUUGUGGUUAAAAAGCUCGUAGUUGAACCUUGGGCCUGGCUGGCCGGUCCGCCUCACCGCGUGUACUGGUCCGGCCGGGCCUUUCCCUCUGUGGAACCCCAUGCCCUUCACUGGGUGUGGCGGGGAAACAGGACUUUUACUUUGAAAAAAUUAGAGUGCUCCAGGCAGGCCUAUGCUCGAAUACAUUAGCAUGGAAUAAUAAAAUAGGACGUGCGGUUCUAUUUUGUUGGUUUCUAGGACCGCCGUAAUGAUUAAUAGGGACAGUCGGGGGCAUCAGUAUUCAAUUGUCAGAGGUGAAAUUCUUGGAUUUAUUGAAGACUAACUACUGCGAAAGCAUUUGCCAAGGAUGUUUUCAUUAAUCAGGAACGAAAGUUAGGGGAUCGAAGACGAUCAGAUACCGUCGUAGUCUUAACCAUAAACUAUGCCGACUAGGGAUCGGACGAUGUUAUUUUUUGACUCGUUCGGCACCUUACGAGAAAUCAAAGUGCUUGGGCUCCAGGGGGAGUAUGGUCGCAAGGCUGAAAC